GAUGUGUAGGAUAGGUGGGAGGCUUUGAAGUGUGGACGCCAGUCUGCAUGGAGCCGACCUUGAAAUACCACCCUUUAAUGUUUGAUGUUCUAACGUGGACCCGUAAUCCGGGUUGCGGACAGUGUCUGGUGGGUAGUUUGACUGGGGCGGUCUCCUCCUAAAGAGUAACGGAGGAGCACGAAGGUUGGCUAAUCCUGGUCGGACAUCAGGAGGUUAGUGCAAUGGCAUAAGCCAGCUUGACUGCGAGCGUGACGGCGCGAGCAGGUGCGAAAGCAGGUCAUAGUGAUCCGGUGGUUCUGAAUGGAAGGGCCAUCGCUCAACGGAUAAAAGGUACUCCGGGGAUAACAGGCUGAUACCGCCCAAGAGUUCAUAUCGACGGCGGUGUUUGGCACCUCGAUGUCGGCUCAUCACAUCCUGGGGCUGAAGUAGGUCCCAAGGGUAUGGCUGUUCGCCAUUUAAAGUGGUACGCGAGCUGGGUUUAGAACGUCGUGAGACAGUUCGGUCCCUAUCUGCCGUGGGCGCUGGAGAACUGAGGGGGGCUGCUCCUAGUACGAGAGGACCGGAGUGGACGCAUCACUGGUGUUCGGGUUGUCAUGCCAAUGGCACUGCCCGGUAGCUAAAUGCGGAAGAGAUAAGUGCUGAAAGCAUCUAAGCACGAAACUUGCCCCGAGAUGAGUUCUCCCUGAGACUUAGAGUCUCCUGAAGGAACGUUGAAGACGACGACGUUGAUAGGCCGGGUGUGUAAGCGCAGCGAUGCGUUGAGCUAACCGGUACUAAUGAACCGUGAGGCUUAACCUUACA
Molecule: ribosomal RNA, 801 nt
Filed under: Salmonella enterica
Lineage: Bacteria; Pseudomonadati; Pseudomonadota; Gammaproteobacteria; Enterobacterales; Enterobacteriaceae
Also listed under: 1 other name
Description: partial 23S ribosomal RNA
Rfam family: Bacterial large subunit ribosomal RNA
Source: RNAcentral